GAGUUUGAUCCUGGCUCAGGAUGAACGCUAGCGGCAGGCUUAACACAUGCAAGUCGAGGGGCAGCAUAUUUGGUAGCAAUAUUAAAUGAUGGCGACCGGCGCACGGGUGCGUAACGCGUAUGCAACCUACCAUAUACAGGGGGAUAAUCUUUCGAAAGGAAGUCUAAUACCCCAUAGUAUUGUUAUUUGGCAUCAAAUGACAAUUAAAGAUUUAUUGGUAUAUGAUGGGCAUGCGUGCCAUUAGCUAGUUGGAGAGGUAACGGCUCACCAAGGCUACGAUGGUUAGGGGUUCUGAGAGGAAGGUCCCCCACACUGGUACUGAGACACGGACCAGACUCCUACGGGAGGCAGCAGUGAGGAAUAUUGGUCAAUGGGCGCAAGCCUGAACCAGCCAUGCCGCGUGCAGGAAGACGGCCUUAUGGGUUGUAAACUGCUUUUACAUAAGACUAACCGUAUAUUUGCGAAUAUACCUGAAUGUAUUAUGAGAAUAAGGAUCGGCUAACUCCGUGCCAGCAGCUGCGGUAAUACGGAGGAUCCGAGCGUUAUCCGGAUUUAUUGGGUUUAAAGGGUGCGUAGGCGGAAGAAUAAGUCAGUGGUGAAAGUUUGCAGCUCAACUGUAAAAUUGCCGUUGAAACUGUUUUUCUUGAGUGUAAAUGAGGUAGGCGGAAUGUGUUGUGUAACGGUGAAAUGCUUAAAUAUGACACAGAACACCGAUUG
This 717-nucleotide ribosomal RNA is filed under the name uncultured bacterium. Its description in RNAcentral is "bacterial SSU rRNA". It matches the Rfam family "Bacterial small subunit ribosomal RNA", at positions 9 to 715 of the family's 1533-position model. The record is from RNAcentral.